AAAAUGCUAUGAUGAGUCAUGAAAUGUACAACGCAUGUCAGACUUCAGAGAUGCCACAUCAUGCAUGAGAAGAUAUUUCAUAUUCUGAGAUAUUUU
This is a small nucleolar RNA of Lolium rigidum, 96 nucleotides long. RefSeq annotates it as small nucleolar RNA R64/Z200 family. Lineage: Eukaryota; Viridiplantae; Streptophyta; Magnoliopsida; Poales; Poaceae. The record is from RefSeq and is a predicted model, not a curated record. The transcript has a single exon.